This 247-nucleotide long non-coding RNA is filed under the name Solanum tuberosum (potato). RNAcentral's name for it is "long non-coding RNA (STUB_LNC004525)". The record is from RNAcentral. Lineage: Eukaryota; Viridiplantae; Streptophyta; Magnoliopsida; Solanales; Solanaceae.
GACAGUGCACUUUUCAAUCUUUUCGAGCUCAAAAUUCAAACAAGCAUUAGUCCACGUAAUGCCUCCGCGGAUCGUCGUUUGGGUUUUGCAUCGUCUAUGUUUCUCUUUUCAAUCUUCCAACGUCUUCUCAAACUUCACUCACAAUGCACAUUAUUUAAAAACUGUAAAUAUAACAAUAAAGACUUGGGUUGCCUCCUAAGAAGCAUCACUUUUAACAUUUUGUUACGACAUAUUGCUCAAACUCAAC